AGUCCUACGGGGGGCAGCAGUGGGGAAUAUUGGGCAAUGGGCGCAAGCCUGACCCAGCAACGCCGCGUGAAGGAAGAAGGCUCUCGGGUUGUAAACUUCUUUUAUCAGGGACGAAGCAAGUGACGGUACCUGAUGAAUAAGCCACGGCUAACUACGUGCCGGCAGCCGCGGUAAUACGUAGGUGGCAAGCGUUAUCCGGAUUUACUGGGUGUAAAGGGCGUGUAGGCGGGAAAGCAAGUCAGAUGUGAAAACCAUGGGCUCAACCUGUGGCCUGCAUUUGAAACUGUUUUGCUUGUGUACUGGAA
This 305-nucleotide ribosomal RNA is filed under the name uncultured bacterium. RNAcentral describes it as "bacterial SSU rRNA". It matches the Rfam family "Bacterial small subunit ribosomal RNA", at positions 335 to 654 of the family's 1533-position model. The record is from RNAcentral.